GAAAUGCGAUAAGUAAUGUGAAUUGCAGAAUUCAGUGAAUCAUCGAAUCUUUGAACGCACCUUGCGCUCCUUGGUAUUCCUUGGAGCAUGCCUGUUUGAGUAUCAUGAAAUCUUCAAAGUAAAUCUUUUGUUAACUCAAUUGGUUUCUACUUUGGUAUUGGAGGUCUUUGCAGCUUCACACCUGCUCCUCUUUGUUCAUUAGCUGGAUCUCAGUGUUAUGCUUGGUUCCACUCGGCGUGAUAAGUUAUCUAUCGCUGAGGACACUGUAAAAGGUGGCCAAGGUAAAUGCAGAUGAACCGCUUCUAAUAGUCCAUUGACUUGGGCAAUACUUUUAUGAUCUGAUCUCAAAUCAGGUAGGACUACCCGCUGAACUUAAGC
This 378-nucleotide unclassified non-coding RNA is filed under the name plant metagenome. RNAcentral's name for it is "partial contains 5.8S ribosomal RNA, internal transcribed spacer 2, and large subunit ribosomal RNA". The stretch from base 1 to 105 matches the Rfam family "5.8S ribosomal RNA", at positions 50 to 154 of the family's 154-position model. The record is from RNAcentral.